AUGCGACGCGCCUUUAACUGCAUGCCGCCUCUCCCCCACUACAGAUUCGAACGAGCAUUACAGGACUGUCUUCCCUCUCACUUCUUCGUGUUUAUUCAAUUGUCGCCUGCUUCUUCCUCCUCCAUAACCUCUCUCCAUAUAAUCUGCCAGUAUCUUCGUCGUCUGCUUCUUCCUCUUCUAACACGGUUCCACAGUUUACCGAUCAACCAUAAACGCAAUGGCCAGCAGCAUCUUGAAGCUAUUAUUCAAGAUGCAAAGGCUGAGCAGAUCCAUGUUGUAACCCGCUCCCGUGACCUUGAUGUUUGA
Non-coding RNA from Vicia faba (fava bean), 306 nucleotides. NCBI's taxonomy places the organism in Eukaryota, Viridiplantae, Streptophyta, Magnoliopsida, Fabales, Fabaceae. The record is from the annotation of a GenBank genome assembly.